RNAcentral lists this ribosomal RNA (403 nucleotides) under uncultured bacterium. RNAcentral's name for it is "partial 16S ribosomal RNA". It matches the Rfam family "Bacterial small subunit ribosomal RNA", at positions 29 to 526 of the family's 1533-position model. The record is from RNAcentral.
AUUGAACGCUGGCGGCAGGCCUAACACAUGCAAGUCGAGCGAGCGGCGGACGGGUGAGUAAUGUAUGGGGACUGCCCGAUAGAGGGGGAUAACUACUGGAAACGGUAGCUAAUACCGCAUACUAUCGGAUAACCCAUAUGGGAUUAGCUAGUAGGUGAGGUAAUGGCUCACCUAGGCGACGAUCCCUAGCUGGUCUGAGAGGAUGAUCAGCAAGACUGGGACUGAGACACGGCCCAGAAGCCGAAGGAGGCAGCAGUGGGGAAUAUUGCACAAGGGGCGCAAGCCUGAUGAAGCCAUGCCGAGUGUAUGAAGAAGGCCCUAGGGUUGUAAAGUACUUGCAGUCGGGAGGCGUUACCGACAGAAGAAGCACAGGCUAACUCCGUGCCAGCAGCCGCGGUAAUUC